CAGCAGCAUCAGCAUCGACAGUAUGACCAAUUGCGUAAUCAUUAUCAUUCGUUACUUAAUGAUGCAAUAAGUAAGGAUGACUGUAAUGAUUCCAAUUCAGUACAUUCAAGUCAAUCUAUGCCAAAU
Molecule: microRNA precursor, 126 nt
Filed under: Schistosoma mansoni
Lineage: Eukaryota; Metazoa; Platyhelminthes; Trematoda; Strigeidida; Schistosomatidae
Description: microRNA sma-mir-8403 precursor
Source: miRBase by way of RNAcentral